UAACAAUGAUUCCCUCAGUAACGGCGAGUGAACAGGGAAAAGCUCAAAGUUGGAACCUCCUGGCCCUAGGUCUGGCGGAUUGUAAACUAAAGCUCUCGAGUAGUUCGGCUAGCCUGGUAAAAAAGUUCUCUGGAAAGGGACGACAUAGAGGGUGAAAUCCCCGUCUUUGGCCAGAGCAUAGUCCAACGUUUGCUCGGAAGUGAAGAGUCAGGUUGUUUGGUAUUGCAGCCUAAAGCUGGAGGUAAAUCUCUCCUAAAGCUAAAUAUUGACGAAAGACCGAUAGCGAACAAGUACCGUGAGGGAAAGAUGAAAAGCACUUUGAAAAGAGGGUCAAAAAGUACGUGAAAUUGCUGAAAGGGAACCGUAUGAAAUCAG
Molecule: ribosomal RNA, 375 nt
Filed under: Absidia repens
Lineage: Eukaryota; Fungi; Mucoromycota; Mucoromycetes; Mucorales; Cunninghamellaceae
Description: LSU rRNA
Rfam family: Eukaryotic large subunit ribosomal RNA
Source: RNAcentral